Molecule: microRNA precursor, 197 nt
Filed under: Fragaria vesca subsp. vesca
Lineage: Eukaryota; Viridiplantae; Streptophyta; Magnoliopsida; Rosales; Rosaceae
Description: Fragaria vesca miR159a stem-loop (fve-MIR159a)
Gene: fve-MIR159a
Rfam family: MIR159 microRNA precursor family
Source: miRBase by way of RNAcentral
AGCUAGGGUUAUGGAGUGGAGCUCCUUGAAGUCCAAUAGAAGAUGUUGCUAGGUUGAUUGAGCUGCUGAGCUAUGAAUUCCACACUUCUAUCUCUGUUUUUUGAUAAAGAUGAUAGGCUUGUGGCUUGCAUACCUCAGGAGCUGCAUUACCUGAGUUGCAUCAUGUUUUGGAUUGAAGGGAGCUCUACACCUUGGCU